This 232-nucleotide ribosomal RNA is filed under the name uncultured bacterium. Its description in RNAcentral is "partial 16S ribosomal RNA". It matches the Rfam family "Bacterial small subunit ribosomal RNA", at positions 99 to 334 of the family's 1533-position model. The record is from RNAcentral.
CGGACGGGUGAGUAAUGUCUGGGAAACUGCCCGAUGGAGGGGGAUAACUACUGGAAACGGUAGCUAAUACCGCAUAACGUCGCAAGACCAAAGAGGGGGACCUUCGGGCCUCUUGCCAUCGGAUGUGCCCAGAUGGGAUUAGCUAGUAGGUGGGGUAACGGCUCACCUAGGCGACGAUCCCUAGCUGGUCUGAGAGGAUGACCAGCCACACUGGGACUGAGACACGGCCCAG